Chrysemys picta bellii (western painted turtle) is the source of this 699-nucleotide non-coding RNA. The record is from the annotation of a RefSeq genome assembly. Lineage: Eukaryota; Metazoa; Chordata; Testudines; Emydidae.
AUGAGACUUUGGCUCCAUGUAGUGUUCCUUGCAGUGGCUCUGGAAGGUGUCCGGUCCCAGGUGCAGCUGGUGGAGUCCGGAGGGGAUGUGAAAAAGCCUGGAGACUCUCUCCGCCUCUCCUGCAAAGCCUCCAGGUUCAUCUUCAGCAGCUACGCUAUGAGCUGGGUCCGUCAGGCUCCCGGGAAGGGACUGGAGUGGGUCUCAUACAUUUACACUGAUGGGAGCCAACAAUUUUACAGAGACUCAGUGAAAGGCCGAUUCACCAUCUCCAGAGACAACCCCAACAACCUGCUGUAUCUGCAAAUGACCGGCCUGAAGCCCGAGGACACCGCCCGGUAUCACUGGGCCCGUUCGCAGGUUGUUCUGACCCAGUCCGGUCCUGAAGUGAAGAAGCCCGGAGAAUCCACCCAGCUGAAAUGCGCCGUGAGCGGGUUUGUUCCUAAUGACUGGUGGAUGGAUUGGGUCAGACAGCUGCCAGGAAAGGGACUGGAGUGGCUGGUUCACUAUCGACAAUCUUCAGUCACGAAUUACUACUCCCCCUCCAUCCAGGGGCGAUUCACAGCCUCCAAGGACAGCUCCAACUUCUACCUGCAAAUGACAGGCCUGAAACCCGAGGACACGGCCGUUUAUUACUGCGCAAGACACACAAGGCGCCAGCAGAAGGUCCUCUCCAGCUACCGAGCCCCAUCUAAGCCUCCU